This 301-nucleotide ribosomal RNA is filed under the name uncultured bacterium. RNAcentral's name for it is "partial 16S ribosomal RNA". It matches the Rfam family "Bacterial small subunit ribosomal RNA", at positions 509 to 807 of the family's 1533-position model. The record is from RNAcentral.
CAGCAGCCGCGGUAAUACGAAGGGGGCUAGCGUUGUUCGGAUUUACUGGGCGUAAAGCGCACGUAGGCGGACUUUUAAGUCAGGGGUGAAAUCCCGGGGCUCAACCCCGGAACUGCCUUUGAUACUGGAAGUCUUGAGUAUGGUAGAGGUGAGUGGAAUUCCGAGUGUAGAGGUGAAAUUCGUAGAUAUUCGGAGGAACACCAGUGGCGAAGGCGGCUCACUGGACCAUUACUGACGCUGAGGUGCGAAAGCGUGGGGAGCAAACAGGAUUAGAGACCCCCGUAGUCCCUGUCUCUUAUAC